RNAcentral lists this ribosomal RNA (364 nucleotides) under Bacillus thuringiensis. Its description in RNAcentral is "bacterial LSU rRNA". It matches the Rfam family "Bacterial large subunit ribosomal RNA", at positions 1119 to 1487 of the family's 2925-position model. The record is from RNAcentral. Lineage: Bacteria; Bacillati; Bacillota; Bacilli; Caryophanales; Bacillaceae.
CCCUUUAAAGAAAGCGUAAUAGCUCACUAGUCGAGUCGGCCUGCGCGGAAGAUGUAACGGGGCUCAAACCAUGCACCGAAGCUACGGGUAUCAUCUUAUGAUGAUGCGGUAGAGGAGCGUUCUGUAAGCCUGUGAAGGUGAGUUGAGAAGCUUGCUGGAGGUAUCAGAAGUGCGAAUGCUGACAUGAGUAACGACAAUGCGAGUGAAAAACUCGCACGCCGAAAGACCAAGGUUUCCUGCGCAACGUUAAUCGACGCAGGGUUAGUCGGUCCCUAAGGCGAGGCUGAAAAGCGUAGUCGAUGGAAAACAGGUUAAUAUUCCUGUACUUCCAGUUAUUGCGAUGGAGGGACGGAGAAGGUUAGGC